Long non-coding RNA from Dreissena polymorpha, 1647 nucleotides. RefSeq lists it as uncharacterized. The record is from RefSeq and is a predicted model, not a curated record. The transcript has 3 exons. NCBI's taxonomy places the organism in Eukaryota, Metazoa, Mollusca, Bivalvia, Myida, Dreissenidae.
AGGCCUGACCGUUUGUCCUUGAGCCGUAGUUGGUUAACAAUCCGCUAGCUGUCUUGCUCUGACUGGUGCACUGGACAUGAUUUCAAUAGUCAGCCAGACCAUGAUUGAGCUUAAGGAUUGUGCUGCGGAUGCAGCCUGUGCAGUUCCCGGAGAAAGUCACUGUCUUGGGCAAUGCGGUCUGGUAUCAGGUCUGGAUGAUCCUUGCCUGACUGCGGGUUUGUGUACACCUCAAUCCGACUCUGUGUCCUGAACAGAGGCCGCAGUGGUGCAGCGCUUGUGGACGAUCCAUCAACAUCCUGAAAGGUCAACACUACACCAAGCUGGGAAAAUUGAUCCUGAUAGUCAUCCCCAGGUAGUGGAAUGAAUGUACACUGAACUACAGAGGAAUCACACCCAAAUGACUUUCCUGCCACGACAUUAGUGUGUCCACUCGCGUAGGAAUUCCUUAGCAAACGUGCUCUUUUGCAUGGUGACUGUGGGCAUUUUUGCAAAACUUACGCUUUCAACACUGGAUUUUAAAGAGAAUACUUAAUAAAAUGUCGCUAACAGGACUUAUUUAUAUGAGAGAGACUAUCUGGAUGCGCAUUAAGUGUCACUUUGUGUCGUAAGCUGUUGAAGGAGCGAUUUGCGCCUUUUUAAGUGUUAAUUUUGGGUAGCCGGCUUGUAUCGGCUAGAAAGCUGCAAAUUAUGACUCUCAUCAUAAUAGCAUUAAUUUUUGUAAUUGCAAUGUGUAUGUUUAGAUUGUAAGUGAAGCUUUUAAUAAUAAUUUUCUUAAAAAACCUGAUUUUAUAUGCUGUCAGUGAGUUUUUUAUUGAAAAAAGUGCUUAAAAUUAAAAAAAAGUCUCCUAUUUCAUCAAGAAAAGUACACUGAUUCACAAUCAAUACAUUUAUUUGGGCCUUUUGCUGAUAUAUUGGUGAAUUUCGCAUGCAAUGAUACCAGUUUUUGCCAUAAAAGUUACGCGUAACAAUAAUUGGAGACACAAAAUCAGCUGUCGUCACUUAGACUAAAAAUCAUGCAUUCCGACUUGACUGCGGCCAAUUUAGUCACCGCUUUAAAUGGCCAUUUUAAGGCCUUUACCCCCAUCCGAAUGCACUGAAAUUGCAUAUUCAUUGUGGAAAUAGUUGAAAACUCAUGUGGAGAAAGUUUGAAAAAGAUGGGACAAAGUUGAGUUCCCUUAAAGGUUACAUUACACUAAAUCAUUGUGUAUCCCUCCGUGGUCCAUUCGAAAGUAGUGCCUAUUUCUAAGGAGUUCCUUUUCUCUUCUUGAAUAUAAGCCAUUUAACAAUGUGAGACAUGUCUUUUGUGGUUAUUUGUAAUAUCCUGUAUGUGUCUGGAGUACUUUGAUGCCUUGGAUUGGAAGCUAACUUAAAAGAUGAACUUUUGAGGGUGUGUUUUCUAUUGUGUGGGGCUUUUGUCGAAAUUAGGAUUCCAAAACGCGUUUUUCUACGGUGGGUUCAUUCGACAGCGAUUUACUUUCUUAGAAGUUGCGAGACGGUAUGUUUUUGAUUGCAAUUAUUGGAAGAUGACAGAUCCAUCUUUAAAAUGAUACCAGGUUCGGAAAAAUUGAUACGUUGGAAAGGCAAGAAAAAUGCUGUGAAAGUUGUCAGUUUUAUAAUGGGACCCUAUGGGAAUCGGAAUUAGUGUAA